Molecule: long non-coding RNA, 2443 nt
Filed under: Canis lupus familiaris (dog)
Lineage: Eukaryota; Metazoa; Chordata; Mammalia; Carnivora; Canidae
Description: lncRNA (ENSCAFG00040019500.1)
Source: RNAcentral
AAUUCUAUGCAGCCAACCAUAAGAGCUCUGCGGCCGUUCACCUGACUGCAGCAGAAUCGAGGCUUGAUGGUUACGGUGGGUGACAGAAGAGGGGCCGUUGGAAGUGCUAUUAUGCAGUUUGCACGGGAAGAUUUCAGCACAUUUCAGCUUUAUCUAGUUAUGCUAGUUUAGAAUUUGGUCAGUUAUUUGAAACAAAAGAUAAAAAUAAAAAACACUGUAUUAUAGUGAAAAUGUUUAUCAGAUGAAGAGCUCAGCUUUAACAACACGCCUUGCCAAAAAGCUUUGCAAAUCGUUCCUCACUUGGGAGCAUGUGAGAAAGGGCUGUAAUAAGAAUAGCUGAGAUUUGCUGGAGCCAAAGCUUACAGAAAGAAGAAUCUGCAGGUUUAAAAAGGAGAAACACAGAACUUGUUAGUCACAUAUAUUACCUAUGUGACAUCUCAAGAUGGAUUUGAAAUCUCUUACCAUUUGGUGUUAGAAGAAGGGGAAAGUGUUGUCCAAGGUAAUAAUUACCUUUUAAAUGCUGAAGCUGAGACCAAGACUUGUAAGAGGGAAUUCUUCCUGAAGAGUCUGCAUAUCUAUGCAACCCUGGUGGCGCAGCGGUUUAGCGCCGCCUGCAGCCCGGGGUGUGAUCCUGGAGACCCGGAAUCGAGUCCCACGUCGGGCUCCCUGCAUGGAGCCUGCUUCUCCUUCUGCCUUUCUCUCUCUGUGUGUCUCUAAGAAUAAAAUUUAAAAAAAAAAAAAAAGAGUCUGCAUACCUGAGAGGGCCAUGAAGUCCAAACUCUGGCCUUCUUCAUGCAUCUUUUAUACAAAAAAGUCUUCGUAGAUCCUACAUUCUGCUGACUAGGUAAUAUUGAAAGAAUCAGAAAACACAAGAACUUGGAAGUCAUCUGACUCUCAGAAAUGAACUGCAUAUCUUAGGCCCACUAAGCAGAAUUCUGGGGGAGAAAUCAGUAUUUCAUGUAAAUGUAGCUUCACCUCUCAAGAAGUAAUAAAAUUGGAAUAGGUGGACCACACCUCCAAUGUAUUUGAUGAUAAUAGAAUCAGCGAUACAGCCCAGUAUCAUCUCAAACUAAAAUUGGGAGCCUUUCACAAAAAGAAUUAUUUAAACCACUGUAAACAACUAGGAAUCAGAGUAAGGAUAGAAAUCACAUUUUGCUCUCCUUUCACAAAGCAGCUGAAGAAUAUUAUGUUGCUAUUUCAAUAAGAAUAACACUAUACUGAUAACAGACUCUAUUCAAAAUUUAAUAAAGCAUUAGUCCCUUAAUCAAAACAUGACUAUGAGGCUUGGACUGUCGCUGGAAAGCAGAAUAAUGUGAACAAAAGAGAAAUGGAACUGUGUCUGAAUAUCAACUCUACAAACAAAUAACAUCUCAUUACACAUGCAGCAAUUAAAGGCAGGAACUUCAAAGCCAUUCUCAAUUUAUCUUUGUCAAGCCCCUGACCAGGGAAAAGUUUGACUCACGAAAUCAAAGCAGGUAUGUGGUAAAUAUCAAUCUAUCAAUCAAUCAAAUGUCAUUAACACGUAUACAACUAUAUAUGAAUUUUUUGCUUAUGCUGAAUACAUUAUCUACAUAAAAUUUUGCCUAAAGCACAUGGAUUAUAAAUAUCUAUAAGAGAGCCACCUGGGAUCCCUGGGUGGCUCAGGGGUUUAGUGCCUGCCUGCCUUUGGUCCAGGGCAUGAUCCUGGAGACCCGGGUUUGAGUCCCACAUCAGGCUCCCUGCAUGGAGCCUGCUUCUCCCUCUGCCUGUGUCUCAGCUUCUCAUGAAUAAGUAAAUAAAAUAUUUAAAAAAAAAAAAAAAGAGAGCCACCUAAAUGCAUAAUUAUAAAUAAACUACAAAUAAAAUAGAUAUAAAAGAAAUUACAAACAAAAUAAAUUUUGAUUUAAAAUUGCUUAUGUAAUUAGGAGUAAGCAAAAGUUUUCACUCUAAUUCAGCAUAUAUAGUGGUUAAAGGAACCUUUUCUGGAAUUAGACAGGCUAGGUCUAAUUCCUGACUCUCCUACUGGAGUUAGGACAGGAUAGUAAAACAGUUUUCUCAUGAGUAAAAUUAAGAUAAUAAUAAUGCCUGUUUCAGAUAGUUGUAAAAAUUUAAUGAGCUAAUGCUUAAAAGUCAUACAUUCAUUAUCACUUUUCAGAAAAUAGAAUUAAUUGAAAAGGUUUAGAAAUAGUAUCUGCCUCAGAAAGCUUGAAUUCCAUAGAUGAAUAUAUCACGAUAGUACCCUCAAAACUGAAUUUGAUAAUUUUACCUCAUUUUAAUCCCUAAAUAAUGAUUUUUAAAAAGCAUUUACAACCUGGGUCCUCAAAUCAGUCUGUAUUUAUACACGUUCAAUCAGGUUUUAAUAAUGCCAUAAUAGCAUCCAAUUCCAUCCUACAAGCUAAUUUUCAGGUUUAGGCUGACAGCUCAUAUUAACACUUAUUGCUCAUGUGGACAAUGAAUUACACUG